GUGAACCAGUACCGUGAGGGAAAGGCGAAAAGAACCCCGGCGAGGGGAGUGAAAAAGAACCUGAAACCGUGUACGUACAAGCAGUGGGAGCACAGGUUUACCUGUGUGACUGCGUACCUUUUGUAUAAUGGGUCAGCGACUUAUAUUCUGUAGCAAGGUUAACCGAAUAGGGGAGCCGGAGGGAAACCGAGUCUUAACCGGGCGUUAAGUUGCAGGGUAUAGACCCGAAACCCGGUGAUCUAGCCAUGGGCAGGUUGAAGGUUGGGUAACACUAACUGGAGGACCGAACCGACUAAUGUUGAAAAAUUAGCGGAUGACCUGUGGCUGGGGGUGAAAGGCCAAUCAAACCGGGAGAUAGCUGGUUCUCCCCGAAAGCUAUUUAGGUAGCGCCUCGUGAAUUCAUCUCCGGGGGUAGAGCACUGUUUCGGCUAGGGGGCCAUCCCGGCUUACCAACCCGAUGCAAACUGCGAAUACCGGAGAAUGUUAUCACGGGAGACACACGGCGGGUGCUAACGUCCGUCGUGAAGAGGGAAACAACCCAGACCGCCAGCUAAGGUCCCAAAGUCAUGGUUAAGUGGGAAACGAUGUGGGAAGGCCCAGACAGCCAGGAUGUUGGCUUAGAAGCAGCCAUCAUUUAAAGAAAGCGUAAUAGCUCACUGGUCGAGUCGGCCUGCGCGGAAGAUGUAACGGGGCUAAACCAUGCACCGAAGCUGCGGCAGCGACGCUGAUGCGUUGUUGGGUAGGGGAGCGUUCUGUAAGCCUGUGAAGGUGGCCUGUGAGGGUUGCUGGAGGUAUCAGAAGUGCGAAUGCUGACAUAAGUAACGAUAAAGCGGGUGAAAAGCCCGCUCGCCGGAAGACCAAGGGUUCCUGUCCAACGUUAAUCGGGGCAGGGUGAGUCGACCCCUAAGGCGAGGCCGAAAGGCGUAGUCGAUGGGAAACGGGUUAAUAUUCCCGUACUUGGUGUUACUGCGAAGGGGGGACGGAGAAGGCUAUGUUGGCCGGGCGACGGUUGUCCCGGUUUAAGCGUGUAGGUGUGUGUUCCAGGUAAAUCCGGUUCACUUUAACACUGAGGCGUGAUGACGAGGCACUACGGUGCUGAAGCAACAAAUGCCCUGCUUCCAGGAAAAGCCUCUAAGCAUCAGGUAACAUCAAAUCGUACCCCAAACCGACACAGGUGGUCAGGUAGAGAAUACCAAGGCGCUUGAGAGAACUCGGGUGAAGGAACUAGGCAAAAUGGUGCCGUAACUUCGGGAGAAGGCACGCUGACACGUAGGUGAAGUGAUUUACUCACGGAGCUGAAGUCAGUCGAAGAUACCAGCUGGCUGCAACUGUUUAUUAAAAACACAGCACUGUGCAAACACGAAAGUGGACGUAUACGGUGUGACGCCUGCCCGGUGCCGGAAGGUUAAUUGAUGGGGUCAGCGCAAGCGAAGCUCCUGAUCGAAGCCCCGGUAAACGGCGGCCGUAACUAUAACGGUCCUAAGGUAGCGAAAUUCCUUGUCGGGUAAGUUCCGACCUGCACGAAUGGCGUAAUGAUGGCCAGGCUGUCUCCACCCGAGACUCAGUGAAAUUGAACUCGCUGUGAAGAUGCAGUGUACCCGCGGCAAGACGGAAAGACCCCGUGAACCUUUACUAUAGCUUGACACUGAACAUUGAGCCUUGAUGUGUAGGAUAGGUGGGAGGCUUUGAAGUGUGGACGCCAGUCUGCAUGGAGCCGACCUUGAAAUACCACCCUUUAAUGUUUGAUGUUCUAACGUGGACCCGUAAUCCGGGUUGCGGACAGUGUCUGGUGGGUAGUUUGACUGGGGCGGUCUCCUCCUAAAGAGUAACGGAGGAGCACGAAGGUUGGCUAAUCCUGGUCGGACAUCAGGAGGUUAGUGCAAUGGCAUAAGCCAGCUUGACUGCGAGCGUGACGGCGCGAGCAGGUGCGAAAGCAGGUCAUAGUGAUCCGGUGGUUCUGAAUGGAAGGGCCAUCGCUCAACGGAUAAAAGGUACUCCGGGGAUAACAGGCUGAUACCGCCCAAGAGUUCAUAUCGACGGCGGUGUUUGGCACCUCGAUGUCGGCUCAUCACAUCCUGGGGCUGAAGUAGGUCCCAAGGGUAUGGCUGUUCGCCAUUUAAAGUGGUACGCGAGCUGGGUUUAGAACGUCGUGAGACAGUUCGGUCCCUAUCUGCCGUGGGCGCUGGAGAACUGAGGGGGGCUGCUCCUAGUACGAGAGGACCGGAGUGGACGCAUCACUGGUGUUCGGGUUGUCAUGCCAAUGGCACUGCCCGGUAGCUAAAUGCGGAAGAGAUAAGUGCUGAAAGCAUCUAAGCACGAAACUUGCCCCGAGAUGAGUUCUCCCUGAGACUU
RNAcentral lists this ribosomal RNA (2352 nucleotides) under Salmonella enterica subsp. enterica serovar Kentucky. Its description in RNAcentral is "bacterial LSU rRNA". It matches the Rfam family "Bacterial large subunit ribosomal RNA", at positions 490 to 2823 of the family's 2925-position model. The record is from RNAcentral. Lineage: Bacteria; Pseudomonadati; Pseudomonadota; Gammaproteobacteria; Enterobacterales; Enterobacteriaceae.